This 409-nucleotide ribosomal RNA is filed under the name uncultured bacterium. Its description in RNAcentral is "bacterial SSU rRNA". It matches the Rfam family "Bacterial small subunit ribosomal RNA", at positions 355 to 776 of the family's 1533-position model. The record is from RNAcentral.
UGGGGAAUAUUGCGCAAUGGGCGAAAGCCUGACGCAGCGACGCCGCGUGAGGGAUGAAGGCCUUCGGGUUGUAAACCUCUUUCAGCAGGGACGAAGCGAAAGUGACGGUACCUGCAGAAGAAGCACCGGCCAACUACGUGCCAGCAGCCGCGGUAAUACGUAGGGUGCAAGCGUUGUCCGGAAUUAUUGGGCGUAAAGAGCUCGUAGGCGGUUUGUCGCGUCGGCUGUGAAAACCUGAGGCUCAACCUCGGGCCUGCAGUCGAUACGGGCAAACUAGAGUUCGGUAGGGGAGACUGGAAUUCCUGGUGUAGCGGUGGAAUGCGCAGAUAUCAGGAGGAACACCGGUGGCGAAGGCGGGUCUCUGGGCCGAAACUGACGCUGAGGAGCGAAAGCGUGGGGAGCAAACAGG